RNAcentral lists this ribosomal RNA (253 nucleotides) under uncultured bacterium. RNAcentral describes it as "partial 16S ribosomal RNA". It matches the Rfam family "Bacterial small subunit ribosomal RNA", at positions 524 to 776 of the family's 1533-position model. The record is from RNAcentral.
UACGGAGGGUGCAAGCGUUACCCGGAUUCACUGGGUUUAAAGGGUGCGUAGGUGGUUUUGUAAGUCAGUGGUGAAAGCCCGGAGCUCAACUCCGGAACUGCCAUUGAUACUGCUUAACUUGAAUCAACUUGAGGUGGAUGGAAUAUUACAUGUAGCGGUGAAAUGCUUAGAUAUGUAAUAGAACACCGAUUGCGAAGGCAGUUCACUAAGGUUGUAUUGACACUGAGGCACGAAAGCGUGGGGAUCAAACAGG